This 915-nucleotide transfer RNA is filed under the name Bradyrhizobium sp. Its description in RNAcentral is "partial contains 16S ribosomal RNA, 16S-23S ribosomal RNA intergenic spacer, and 23S ribosomal RNA". The stretch from base 170 to 243 matches the Rfam family "tRNA". Lineage: Bacteria; Pseudomonadati; Pseudomonadota; Alphaproteobacteria; Hyphomicrobiales; Nitrobacteraceae. The record is from RNAcentral.
GAGCUUGCUUCUAUCGAACCGUUUUAGAAACAUCAGUGGCCAACAGAUCGCCAGAUCGUUGAGCUGCAUUGGCGGGAUUUCGCCGUCUACGUUUCUCUUUCUUCGCGGACGAACACGCGCUGGGCCUGCGUCAUGCAGGAUCCCUGGUCCUUGACGGGAUAUGCGUUAGGGGCUUGUAGCUCAGUUGGUUAGAGCGCGCGCUUGAUAAGCGUGAGGUCGGAAGUUCAAGUCUUCCCAGGCCCACCAGCCUUCGCGCUUCGCUACUUCGGCUAGGCAAGCCCUUCGAUACGAAGGCUGCCGCGCCGUAGCCUUGGCGAAGGCGGGCUAAUCAAACGAGCAUUCGUCUUCUGGUUACGGGGCCAUAGCUCAGCUGGGAGAGCGCGUGCUUUGCAAGCAUGAGGUCGUCGGUUCGAUCCCGUCUGGCUCCACCAGAUGGUUUGAUCACCGAGAACUUGUACCGUCGUCCGCGAAACAUCACUUCGCACUUACCAGUCUGGAUAGACGGUAAGCUGCGUGAUUUCUGACAUCGUAAAGAGGAGAUCGAUCCGAGUUGGAUCGUGCGGCAAGCAAUUGCCACGCGAGACUUCAUUAUCUCCGGAUCAUUUCGGCGCUCGCGCGUCCUUCAAGGUCAAACUUGAAAGACAUGCGAGUUGUAAAUGAUCCUUUUAGCGAAGCUUGACCGCCUCGCUAUCGGAACGAUCUUACGAAGCAAGCUGGUCUUUCUAGUCAAUGUCCCGGCUGUACGUAGCAUUCAUCGAGGGUGCGCGCCUUAGAGACUUCGGUCUCCUGGCGAUCGUGCAGACAACAUUCUGCCGAGUGUGUGGACCUUGAUAAUGAGAGAAUCAAGUGCCUUAAGGGUGGUCCGGGGAUGGCUUGGCGCCUGAGAGGCGGAUGAAAGGAAGUGCGUACGCUGCG